AGUGAACGCUGGCGGUAGGCCUAACACAUGCAAGUCGAACGGCAGCACAGUAAGAGCUUGCUCUUACGGGUGGCGAGUGGCGGACGGGUGAGGAAUACAUCGGAAUCUACUUUUUCGUGGGGGAUAACGUAGGGAAACUUACGCUAAUACCGCAUACGACCUACGGGUGAAAGCAGGGGAUCUUCGGACCUUGCGCGAUUGAAUGAGCCGAUGUCGGAUUAGCUAGUUGGCGGGGUAAAGGCCCACCAAGGCGACGAUCCGUAGCUGGUCUGAGAGGAUGAUCAGCCACACUGGAACUGAGACACGGUCCAGACUCCUACGGGAGGCAGCAGUGGGGAAUAUUGGGCAAUGGGCGCAAGCCUGAUCCAGCCAUACCGCGUGGGUGAAGAAGGCCUUCGGGUUGUAAAGCUCUUUUGUUGGGAAAGAAAAGCAGCAGGUUAAUACCCCGCUGUUCUGACGGUACCCAAAGAAUAAGCACCGGCUAACUUCGUG
RNAcentral lists this ribosomal RNA (492 nucleotides) under uncultured bacterium. RNAcentral describes it as "partial 16S ribosomal RNA". It matches the Rfam family "Bacterial small subunit ribosomal RNA", at positions 29 to 507 of the family's 1533-position model. The record is from RNAcentral.